This 252-nucleotide ribosomal RNA is filed under the name uncultured bacterium. RNAcentral's name for it is "partial 16S ribosomal RNA". It matches the Rfam family "Bacterial small subunit ribosomal RNA", at positions 524 to 775 of the family's 1533-position model. The record is from RNAcentral.
UACGGAGGGGGCUAGCGUUAUUCGGAAUUACUGGGCGUAAAGCGCACGUAGGCGGCUUUGUAAGUAAGAGGUGAAAGCCUGGAGCUCAACUCCAGAACUGCCUUUUAGACUGCAUCGCUUGAAUCCAGGAGAGGUGAGUGGAAUUCCGAGUGUAGAGGUGAAAUUCGUAGAUAUUCGGAAGAACACCAGUGGCGAAGGCGGCUCACUGGACUGGUAUUGACGCUGAGGUGCGAAAGCGUGGGGAGCAACAGG